RNAcentral lists this unclassified non-coding RNA (378 nucleotides) under uncultured Parachlamydiaceae bacterium. Its description in RNAcentral is "contains 16S-23S intergenic spacer region". The record is from RNAcentral. Lineage: Bacteria; Pseudomonadati; Chlamydiota; Chlamydiia; Parachlamydiales; Parachlamydiaceae.
UCCCGGUUAACCCGGGCAGUCUCAUUAGAGUUCCCACCUUCACGUGUUGGCAACUAAUGAUAAGGGUUGCGCUCGUUGCGGGACUUAACCCAACACCUCACGGCACGAGCUGACGACAGCCAUGCAGCACCUGUGCAAAGGCCCCGAAGGGAGAUGUCAUUUCUGACAUUGUCCUCUGCAUGUCAAGCCUGGGUAAGGUUCUUCGCGUUGCAUCGAAUUAAACCACAUGCUCCACUGCUUGUGCGGGUCCCCGUCAAUUCUUUUGAGUUUCAGCCUUGCGACUGUACUCCCCAGGCGGUAUACUUAACGCGUUAGCUUCGGCACAACCAGGGUUGAGUCCGGUUACACCAAGUAUACAUAGUUUACGGCAAGGACUAC